RNAcentral lists this ribosomal RNA (556 nucleotides) under Staphylococcus aureus. Its description in RNAcentral is "partial 23S ribosomal RNA". It matches the Rfam family "Bacterial large subunit ribosomal RNA", at positions 2353 to 2910 of the family's 2925-position model. Lineage: Bacteria; Bacillati; Bacillota; Bacilli; Caryophanales; Staphylococcaceae. The record is from RNAcentral.
AAAGGCAUAAGGGAGCUUGACUGCGAGACCUACAAGUCGAGCAGGGUCGAAAGACGGACUUAGUGAUCCGGUGGUUCCGCAUGGAAGGGCCAUCGCUCAACGGAUAAAAGCUACCCCGGGGAUAACAGGCUUAUCUCCCCCAAGAGUUCACAUCGACGGGGAGGUUUGGCACCUCGAUGUCGGCUCAUCGCAUCCUGGGGCUGUAGUCGGUCCCAAGGGUUGGGCUGUUCGCCCAUUAAAGCGGUACGCGAGCUGGGUUCAGAACGUCGUGAGACAGUUCGGUCCCUAUCCGUCGUGGGCGUAGGAAAUUUGAGAGGAGCUGUCCUUAGUACGAGAGGACCGGGAUGGACAUACCUCUGGUGUACCAGUUGUCGUGCCAACGGCAUAGCUGGGUAGCUAUGUGUGGACGGGAUAAGUGCUGAAAGCAUCUAAGCAUGAAGCCCCCCUCAAGAUGAGAUUUCCCAACUUCGGUUAUAAGAUCCCUCAAAGAUGAUGAGGUUAAUAGGUUCGAGGUGGAAGCAUGGUGACAUGUGGAGCUGACGAAUACUAAUCGAUC